This is a non-coding RNA of Struthio camelus australis, 348 nucleotides long. NCBI's taxonomy places the organism in Eukaryota, Metazoa, Chordata, Aves, Struthioniformes, Struthionidae. The record is from RefSeq and is a predicted model, not a curated record.
CCAGCCGGCCGGCCACCUCUGUGCCACCUGCGGGGACUGGCUGCGCGCCCGGCACGGCUCCGCUCCCACCUACUCGGCCCUGAGCAUCAGCGGCGCCCAGAGCCCAAACCCAGCAGGCGGAAGUUCUACUGACAAAGCUCCAGAUUUGCUGAGGAGACACUCUGCAGAAGAAGAAAUUUCGGAGACGUGUGAAGCAGAGCAGCCCUUGAGCCAUGAAAGCCCUGGUCACAUUUGUCCCGUCUGCGAAGGCUGGCUCCGUGCCCACCUCGACCAGGGCGAAAGCCCCGCCGCGGCGUCCGCGGGGCCCGCAGCAGCUCCCAGCCGGGAGGAGGAGCGGUAAGUUCAGCG